UACCUGCAGCUCAAGUGGUGGCCGCUAUUAUUGGGCCUAAAACGUUCGUAGCCGGUUGAGUAAAUGCCUGGGUAAAUUGUGCCGCUUAACGGUACGAAUUCCGGGUAGACCACUCAGCUUGAGACCGGGAGAAGCUAGAGGUACUCCUGGGGUAGAGGUGAAAUUCUGUAAUCCGUGGGGGGACCACCAGUGGCGAAGGCGUCUAGCUAGAACGGGUCUGACGGUGGGGAACGAAACCCUGGGGCGCAAACCGGAUUAGAUACCCGGGUAGUCCAGGGCGCAAACGCUGCUUGCUUGAUGUUAGCUGGGCUCCGAGCUCAGCUAGUGUCGGAGAGAAGUUGUUAAGCAAGCUGCCUGGGAAUACGAUCGCAAGAUUGAAACUUAAAGGAAUUGGGCGGGGGAGCACAGCAACGGGUGGAGCGUGCGGUUU
Molecule: ribosomal RNA, 430 nt
Filed under: uncultured archaeon
Lineage: Archaea
Description: bacterial SSU rRNA
Rfam family: Archaeal small subunit ribosomal RNA
Source: RNAcentral